ACACGUGGGUAACCUGCCUUAUAGUGGGGGAUAGCCCUUCGAAAGGAAGAUUAAUACCGCAUAAGAUUGUAGUAUCGCAUGAUAUAGCAAUUAAAGGAGCAAUCCGCUAUAAGAUGGACCCGCGUCGCAUUAGCUAGUUGGUGAGGUAAUGGCUCACCAAGGCGACAAUGCGUAGCCGACCUGAGAGGGUGAUCGGCCACAUUGGGACUGAGACACGGCCCAGACUCCUACGGGAGGCAGCAUG
RNAcentral lists this ribosomal RNA (244 nucleotides) under uncultured bacterium. RNAcentral describes it as "partial 16S ribosomal RNA". It matches the Rfam family "Bacterial small subunit ribosomal RNA", at positions 113 to 353 of the family's 1533-position model. The record is from RNAcentral.